AAUUUGAAGGGUUUGAUCCUGGCUCAGAACGAACGCUGGCGGCGUGGCUAAGACAUGCAAGUCGAACGGACCAUUAAUUUAUUAGUGGUUAGUGGCGAAAGGGUUAGUAAUGGAUGGGUAACGUACCCCAAACUUCAGGAUAGCGUCUGAUUACUUCGGUAAUCUUCCGAAAGGGGCGGUAAUACUGAAUAAUAUCACAUCUCGAUAGGGAUGUGAUCAAAGAUUUAUCGGUUUGGGAGCGGCCUAUUUCCUAUCAGCUUGUUGGUG
RNAcentral lists this ribosomal RNA (267 nucleotides) under Planctomycetota bacterium. RNAcentral describes it as "Planctomycetes bacterium (marine metagenome) partial 16S ribosomal RNA". It matches the Rfam family "Bacterial small subunit ribosomal RNA", at positions 1 to 254 of the family's 1533-position model. Lineage: Bacteria; Pseudomonadati; Planctomycetota. The record is from RNAcentral.